RNAcentral lists this long non-coding RNA (132 nucleotides) under Callithrix jacchus (white-tufted-ear marmoset). RNAcentral describes it as "lncRNA (ENSCJAG00000085004.1)". The record is from RNAcentral. Lineage: Eukaryota; Metazoa; Chordata; Mammalia; Primates; Cebidae.
CUGUGUAAUUACCUUGCUUCCUAAUUGGGAGCAGACAAGGCCAGCAGGUGUGGAAAAUCCCCUGGUACAAGGUCCGCAGCACAGUCGCUGUUCAGGGCAUUUGAUGAAAGGAGGAACGAGUUCGCUGGCAAG